UACGUAGGGGGCCAGCGUUGUCCGGAUUCAUUGGGCGUAAAGCGCGCGUAGGCGGCCGCCGAGGUCGCCCGUGACAGCCCCCGGCUCAACCGGGGAGCGUCGGGCGAAACCGGGCGGCUGGAGGCCGGUAGGGGGGGGCGGAAUUCCCGGUGUAGUGGUGGAAUGCGUAGAGAUCGGGAGGAACACCCGUGGCGAAGGCGGCCCCCUGGCCCGGUCCUGACGCUGAGGCGCGAAAGCGUGGGGAGCGAUCCGG
Molecule: ribosomal RNA, 253 nt
Filed under: uncultured bacterium
Lineage: Bacteria
Description: partial 16S ribosomal RNA
Rfam family: Bacterial small subunit ribosomal RNA
Source: RNAcentral